AUCCAGAUAGUUUAGACAAAACAUCGGUCUUGUAAGCCGAAGCCGAAGACUAGCCCCCUUCUCCGGGUA
This 69-nucleotide transfer RNA is filed under the name Laotriton laoensis. RNAcentral describes it as "tRNA-Thr". It matches the Rfam family "tRNA". Rfam says of the family: Transfer RNA (tRNA) molecules are approximately 80 nucleotides in length. Their secondary structure includes four short double-helical elements and three loops (D, anti-codon, and T loops). The record is from RNAcentral. Lineage: Eukaryota; Metazoa; Chordata; Amphibia; Caudata; Salamandridae.